AUACGGAGGGUGCAAGCGUUACUCGGAAUCACUGGGCGUAAAGCGCGCGCAGGCGGCCUGAUAAGUUGGAUGUGAAAGCCUACGGCUCAACCGUAGAACUGCAUCCAAAACUGUCAGGCUAGAGUGUGGGAGAGGAAGAUGGAAUUAGUUGUGUAGGGGUAAAAUCCGUAGAGAUAACUAGGAAUACCAAAAGCGAAGGCAAUCUUCUGGAACACUACUGACGCUAAGGCAUGAAAGCGUGGGGAGCAAACAGGAUUAGAAACCCCAGUAGUCC
This 274-nucleotide ribosomal RNA is filed under the name uncultured bacterium. RNAcentral's name for it is "partial 16S ribosomal RNA". It matches the Rfam family "Bacterial small subunit ribosomal RNA", at positions 523 to 796 of the family's 1533-position model. The record is from RNAcentral.